AAUGGUCCAAAUGUGGUAACACAGAGCUCCAGGCAGGCUAAUGCAUCCUAUAUGUUGUGUGUGCACUUGAGGUCAAAAUACAGCUGAAAACAAGCACUGAAUUUUCAAGAGACUGCUCUGUAUGUCUCUUCAGAUCAGCAACCACCAUGCAGAGGAUAAUUUUAUGUGACCUCUGUUGGCAGAACAGACAGACUGGCUACUACCCGAUCAUCUGCAAUUUGGAUAGACCAUCUUAAUUGACACCAAUAUCACCUCCGAUCUGGGAGGGACUGGCACCUUGCCAGUUUGGCAUGUAGAUGGAAUAAGACAUUUUGGUUAAUGCUAAUAAUGCUCUGUUUUGUUUAUGGCUGGUAGCUAACUGCUGUCUUCCCGUGCACUAGAUAAAGCUCAUAAGGUUGUUGAUUUAUUUGUAAUGGCUUAAUUAAUCUGGUAAUUAGAUUAAUUGUUUUUGUUUAUAUCAAAGUAAAUUAAAA
This 473-nucleotide long non-coding RNA is filed under the name Anser brachyrhynchus (Pink-footed goose). RNAcentral's name for it is "lncRNA (ENSABRG00000003595.1)". Lineage: Eukaryota; Metazoa; Chordata; Aves; Anseriformes; Anatidae. The record is from RNAcentral.